GCAGUCGUGACCGAGUGGUUAAGGCAAUGGACUAGAAAUCCAUUGGGGUCUCCCCGCACAGGUUCGGAUCCUGUCAACUGCG
Non-coding RNA from Ixodes scapularis (black-legged tick), 82 nucleotides. Lineage: Eukaryota; Metazoa; Arthropoda; Arachnida; Ixodida; Ixodidae. The record is from Rfam.